RNAcentral lists this ribosomal RNA (253 nucleotides) under uncultured bacterium. RNAcentral's name for it is "partial 16S ribosomal RNA". It matches the Rfam family "Bacterial small subunit ribosomal RNA", at positions 524 to 776 of the family's 1533-position model. The record is from RNAcentral.
UACGGAGGGUGCAAGCGUUGUCCGGAAUCACUGGGCGUAAAGGGCGCGUAGGCGGCUCAUGAAGGCUGUGGUGAAAGUCCGGGGCUCAACCUCGGAUCGGCCGUGGCGACUCGUGGGCUGGAGCACUGUAGAGGCGGGUGGAAUUCCGGGUGUAGCGGUGGAAUGCGUAGAGAUCCGGAAGAACACCAGUGGCGAAGGCGGGACUCUGGGCCGAUACUGACGCUGAGGAGCGAAAGCGUGGGGAGCGAACAGG